Molecule: ribosomal RNA, 375 nt
Filed under: uncultured bacterium
Lineage: Bacteria
Description: bacterial SSU rRNA
Rfam family: Bacterial small subunit ribosomal RNA
Source: RNAcentral
ACGUAGGGUCCGAGCGUUGUCCGGAUUUAUUGGGCGUAAAGAGCUCGUAGGCGGCUCAGUUAGUCGGAUGUGAAAACUCGGGGCUCAACCCCGAGACGCCAUCCGAUACUGCUGUGGCUUGAAUCUGGUAGGGGAGCACGGAAUUCCUGGUGUAGCGGUGAAAUGCGCAGAUAUCAGGAGGAACACCGGUGGCGAAGGCGGUGCUCUGGGCCAGUAUUGACGCUGAGGAGCGAAAGCGUGGGUAGCAAACAGGAUUAGAUACCCUGGUAGUCCACGCCGUAAACGUUGGGCACUAGGUGUGGGUCCCUAUCGACGGGAUCCGUGCCGUAGCUAACGCAUUAAGUGCCCCGCCUGGGGAGUACGGCCGCAAGGCUA